UUUAAAUUUCUCGUUCUGUUUUUUAACCACAUAAUAACGAAUAUUUUACAUAGAAUAAUAUAGAGAGAGGAUGAGGAAGAAAGUGAGAAAAUAACGAGGAAGAUGAAGAUGAAGACUAUAACGAAGAAGUGAACGAGAAAGUAAUGAUGACAACGGCUAAAAGAAAAUUAAUAAUUAAGAUGACAAGAAUGAAUAUGAAAAGUAAGAAACAACGAAUGUGAAGAGAAAUACAAAGACAUAUGUGUUGACAUUCAAUU
RNAcentral lists this small RNA (257 nucleotides) under Arabidopsis thaliana (thale cress). RNAcentral describes it as "ATSL258920". The record is from RNAcentral. Lineage: Eukaryota; Viridiplantae; Streptophyta; Magnoliopsida; Brassicales; Brassicaceae.